This 1381-nucleotide long non-coding RNA is filed under the name Homo sapiens (human). RNAcentral's name for it is "non-protein coding lnc-PRCD-5:1". The record is from RNAcentral. Lineage: Eukaryota; Metazoa; Chordata; Mammalia; Primates; Hominidae.
UUCCCAGAGCUCAUCCUGUCACUGGCUGCUCUGCUGAAAUUAUCAAUAAGAAAUGCCAGUUGGAUCUGUGACAUGUCUGCCUGCAGCUGGAUGGGAGCAACGGACAGCUUGUCCUCCGAAUGUGUUUUCUGUAUGUGUGCAAGCGCGUGUGUUCCAAACGGGCAGUAGCGUGUGGGAAGGAAAAAGCCUGACACUUGUUUUUAUCAAUUUGCUGAUGCUCAGUCCCGGCGGCUGCCUCCUUUGCCCCCAGCUGCUCUGCCAUUUCUCUCUUUUCAAUCCUGCAUGAUCCUGAGCAGAGAUAAAAGCAGAUUUCCGCUUCUGCUCCCAGAUCCAGGAGCAGACCCUGCAGGCAGCUGCUCCUGAUGUCUCACAGCUAUUAGUCUUCAAAAACCCCCCGUGCCUCUGUGCACACGCGUCUCUCCUCCCCAGCCAGCCCCCCUCCCAGCCCAGCGGCGAUGUCUCUGCCUGGCUGGCCCGUGCCCUUGACUUCCAGGCAGUAGAAGAUGGAGUUCUCUAGACAGCAGCACUUCAGCCGCCACUCUGCCUCUGAAGGGAAGGAAGGGAAAGGGGUGCUGGCUACUGUGAAAUAACAAGAGUCCAAGAGCAAGGUGUCCAGAGUCAGAGCUCCUGGGUUUGAACCUUGUUCCACCAGCACAUCCUACCUCUGUGGCCUGGAGCUGGGCGACCGGUAGUUCUGCAACAGAUCAGAGGAUGGCAGAGGGUGGCAUUGCUGGGGUGGGGAAGCCCCCUGUAAGCCUGUACUGGAGAAGACCACCACUGCCUCUCUGUGCCCAGAACCAUGUCCCAACCUCCAGUGGUGACCUCGACCUGGACAGCGCCACUCCCAGCUGGCUCUGCUUCCGGAAUGAACCUCAGCUCCUUGACAAGACGGGAGGCGCUGCCCUGCUGUGUCCUUCAGCUCCUACUUAAUGGAAGCCUCGCAGAUGCAAGAUGGCUCCAGCAGGCCCAGCAUCACUUCUUCUCAGUGUCCCAAAGCCAGAAGAGAGGCUGUUGUUUUUAAAAGCAGGAAAACUUUCCUAAACUUGGCCAGAAUUGCAUCACAGACCCUUUCCUAAAACAAUUUCCAGCAAAGGGAAUAGACUUACCAUGUCUGGUACAGAUGAAUCAAGGUUUGCCCCUGGGGGCUGGGGAGGGGCUUGUCCCGCUGAAGCAGACUCUUGCCCAGCAGCUGAACGAAGCCUAGGUUCACCAGACGGAGGAAGAGACUGGCCACUAACAGUGCCUGACACACAGAUGUGCUUCCUGUGAUAUCGCUGCUGCCACCGUUCCAAAUGUAAGCAGUUGGCUGUCUGGGAUACUACCUACCUUCUUUUGUGUUCUUAUUAAUAAAAUUAAAGAUUGCUUUCUGGGUAGAGAAAUU